UAUAUUUUAGUAUAUGAUGUAUGUAAGAUUUUGAUUCUUAAGGAAGUAGUUUAAUUCUGCUAAGUAUAG
Molecule: transfer RNA, 69 nt
Filed under: Apomecyna saltator
Lineage: Eukaryota; Metazoa; Arthropoda; Insecta; Coleoptera; Cerambycidae
Description: tRNA-Gln
Rfam family: tRNA
About the family: Transfer RNA (tRNA) molecules are approximately 80 nucleotides in length. Their secondary structure includes four short double-helical elements and three loops (D, anti-codon, and T loops).
Source: RNAcentral